This 1401-nucleotide long non-coding RNA is filed under the name Piliocolobus tephrosceles (Ugandan red Colobus). Its description in RNAcentral is "lncRNA (ENSPTEG00000013830.1)". Lineage: Eukaryota; Metazoa; Chordata; Mammalia; Primates; Cercopithecidae. The record is from RNAcentral.
AUGGACAAUCACCACCCAGUUCUUAAUAUUUUACUCAGCAAGUAUAAAACUUUUCAUAACAAAUUAUCAAACAGGAAACACAUAAUUUUACUACCAGAAGCAAAAACGUUACUAAAUAUAAACAUCGAUAUAAAUUUCAUAAAGAAACAUAUAUUUUUAAAAAGCCCUUUAAAAAACAUUUAUAUAAAUUUAGUUGAUCAGUGCAUUGAAAUUGAUUCUAAGUAUAUUUAUACGGAUUACGGUUUUGAAAUAAGUAGAAUCUGUGAAAUUAUAAAAAUUGAUACAAACUUUAAUUAUAAUUUUUUAAAAAUAAUUUUUAUAAACAUACCAUUAGAAGGAGAUUAUGAAGGUAAUGACACAUUUCUAAAUUGUAAUAAAGAUAUUGGUCAAGAUUUUUUAGAAAAUAUAAAUGAUUUAAAUUUAUUUUUUAAUAAUAAUGAACAGUGUAAUGAAUUCUUAUAUCUACAAAUUCUACAAUUUACCCAUUCAUAUAUAAUUGUUAAAGGUUGUGAAAGUUAUAUAGGUAAAAAAAUUGCAACAAUAAUAGACGAUACAUUAAAAUUACAAAAUAAUACAAACGAAAAAUUGUUUAAAAAUGAUAUAAGGUUGUCAUUAAUUAAAUAUACUUAUUCACAUUUGUAUAAUUUAAUAUGGAAAAAAUUAAGUAAAAAUUACAAAAAUAUGGAACUGAAAAUUCAAGAAAAAAUGAGCUAUAUUAAAAAAGACAUAAACGCAUUUUUGAACAAAUUUAAUAUUGAAUAUAUCAGCUUGUUAAAUAUAGAAACAAUUUCUUUUCAUAUAAAACAGAUUGAAAAAUGUAUUAACCCAAUUGACAAAAUUGAUAUUUUAGACACUGUGAGUAAAAUAAUAUGUGAAAUAAUAUCAUGUACCAACCAAGAUUUAAAGCAACGAAAUUUAUCUAUUUAUGAUAUAACUAGUGAUACUUUAAUAUCCAUUUUUGUUGCUGCAAUUUCUUAUGGGCAAAUACAAAACAUAAUAAGUCAUUCUAUUCAUUUACAUAUGUAUAUAGAUAAUUUAACAAUUUCUGAAAAAAUUGAUAAACUAUCUUUUAUAUUUACAAUAUUUCAUUCAUCAAUUAUUUACCUUUGUGAUGUAAAAAUUGCAUAAUUUUUUUUUGGAAGAGGACGCUACUCUUUAUUUAUAUAUCAGUUGUGCACUCACAAUUGCUGUCUUUUUUUUUUUUUUUAUGUUCUUUUGUUUUAACUUUAUACAAGAAUUAUCAUUCUUUUUAUUUUUUUUUAAAACAUAUAUAUAUAUAUAUAUAUAUAUAUAUUAGUAAUAUUUAAUUUUUAGUUCCAUUUGUUUUAACCAUGUUAAUGAAACAUGUUUAUUAUUAGUGUUAAAAACGCAUACAUAUAAAUAAACAAAUAAACAUAUGCA